GACGAACGCUGGCGGCGUGCUUAACACAUGCAAGUCGAACGGUGAAGCGCCUCCCUUUUUGGUGGGUGUGGAUGAGUGGCGAACGGGUGCGUAACACGUGAGUAACCUGCCCCCUUCUUCUGGAUAACCGCAUGAAAGUGUGGCUAAUACGGGAUAUUCUGGGUCUGUCGCAUGGUGGGUCUGGGACAGAUAUUGGGUCUGUGGGGGAUGGGCUCGCGGCCUAUCAGGUUGUUGGUGGGGUGAUGGCCUUCGAAGGGUGUGGCGGGUAGACGGCUUGAGAGGGUGGACGGCCAGACUGGGACUGAGACACGGCCGGGACUCAUACGGGAGGCAGCAGUGGGGAGUAUGGAGCAGUGGGGGCAAGUCUGAAGCGGCGACGCGGCUGGUGGGAUAGCGGCCUUCGGGUUGUGAACCCCUUUCGCUAGUGAAGCACGCCUGCCUCGUUUGUGGGUGGGUUGACGGUAGCGGGAUAAGAAGCGCCGGCUAACUACGUG
Molecule: ribosomal RNA, 494 nt
Filed under: uncultured bacterium
Lineage: Bacteria
Description: partial 16S ribosomal RNA
Rfam family: Bacterial small subunit ribosomal RNA
Source: RNAcentral